Molecule: long non-coding RNA, 282 nt
Filed under: Medicago truncatula (barrel medic)
Lineage: Eukaryota; Viridiplantae; Streptophyta; Magnoliopsida; Fabales; Fabaceae
Description: long non-coding RNA (MTRU_LNC003822)
Source: RNAcentral
GAAGAAGAAGAUUGUUGCCUUGACCUUCUGCUAGACAUAAUAUAUACCUAGAAUUGGUGUAUUUUUCUAUUUAUAUAUAUAGUUUAUAAUAUAACCAAGAAGAUACAAAUGAGGGAGGAUAAAGUAAGAAAGUAACAAGAAUUAAUUGGUUUAUUUUGUUGGAAAUUAACAAACAAAAGACAAGCUAUGUAGUGGAGAAAAGGAGAGGAGGAAUGGUAGGAGUGGUAGAGUUAAAAGCUAUAGGUAUGAAUGAAGAAAUGGAGAAAGUGAUGAGAGAGAUAU